Long non-coding RNA from Capsicum annuum, 497 nucleotides. RefSeq lists it as uncharacterized. The transcript has 2 exons. NCBI's taxonomy places the organism in Eukaryota, Viridiplantae, Streptophyta, Magnoliopsida, Solanales, Solanaceae. The record is from RefSeq and is a predicted model, not a curated record.
CUACGGACGAUUGAUGACAACUGACCGUAGACGACUGCACGAUGUUUUCCGACGAUGGCAAUGAUGAUUUUCAGCGACAGCGAUGGCCAUCGAUAACACCGUCUCUGUUCUGGUGGUUGUUGGUCGAGAUUUUUUCAGCCACCAAAUGGAUAUUGGAUGCCGAAUGCCGUGGCAGAUCUUCGUCAAUAGGUCCAGCACAUUCUUGAAGUCUCUUGCCACGAGGACAGGUCAUGGAGGAAAAUAUCAAAAAAUUGUUGGAUUGCAAAAAAUCAUGGCACGGUUCUUCGUAUAUCUACAUUCGUGAUUUUGAUGUUUGUAGAAGAAAUUUUCGAGCAUCUUUCUCCUUAUCUUGUACAAACUUGUAACCCACAUUUUAUUGCUACCGAAGUAGCAAUUUCUCCAGCACUUUGGAUACGUAUUUACUGCUCCAUUCUAUCAUCGACAAAGUUAUGUAAAUGUAUAAUCAGUGUAUAAUGUAUUAACUUGAUUUAUGCAAA